AGUGAACGCUGGCGGUAGGCCUAACACAUGCAAGUCGAACGGCAGCACAGUAAGAGCUUGCUCUUACGGGUGGCGAGUGGCGGACGGGUGAGGAAUACAUCGGAAUCUACUUUUUCGUGGGGGAUAACGUAGGGAAACUUACGCUAAUACCGCAUACGACCUACGGGUGAAAGCAGGGGAUCUUCGGACCUUGCGCGAUUGAAUGAGCCGAUGUCGGAUUAGCUAGUUGGCGGGGUAAAGGCCCACCAAGGCGACGAUCCGUAGCUGGUCUGAGAGGAUGAUCAGCCACACUGGAACUGAGACACGGUCCAGACUCCUACGGGAGGCAGCAGUGGGGAAUAUUGGACAAUGGGCGCAAGCCUGAUCCAGCCAUACCGCGUGGGUGAAGAAGGCCUUCGGGUUGUAAAGCCCUUUUGUUGGGAAAGAAAAGCAGCAGGUUAAUACCCCGUUGUUCUGACGGUACCCAAAGAAUAAGCAACGGCUAACUUCGUG
This 492-nucleotide ribosomal RNA is filed under the name uncultured bacterium. RNAcentral's name for it is "partial 16S ribosomal RNA". It matches the Rfam family "Bacterial small subunit ribosomal RNA", at positions 29 to 507 of the family's 1533-position model. The record is from RNAcentral.